GAGGCCCUUGACAAAAUUCUCAAGCAGUUGCAACGCAAUUACGAUCAUCCUCAGCCUCAGGUAAUUUCUUCCCCUGCUUUGUUGUUAUUUGUUACCUAAUUAAGAAGCACAAAGUAUCUUGAAUCAUUUUUUGUAUCUGGAAUAUAUGCAACAGUUUCUAAAAUUUUGAUAUGAGCGAAGUGAUUGUAAUUUCUGUUUUCUGUCUGUCAUCGAAUGUAAGACAACUUUAUUAAGACCCUUGAACCAAGUCAUUUUAUACAAUUGAAGGACAAGUGCUGAAGAGUGGGAAUGGUGCUAGAUUGGGGAAUAAAGCAAAAGGAGAUAAAGUAUUGGCAGUUUCUUCAGCCUUGUUUUCUUUGAACCAGCACCUGAUUAACAAGACUGCAUUAAUUUGGCUUUUGAUCAGCUGAUUGAUAAAUUUUCAAUUUCUUUAGUGAUGAACGUAUAUGUAAAGGAGGCAGCAGGGUAUGACUAUGGAAAAGAGAAGAUUUUAGUGAAAGCUGAGACUUAGAUAAUUCUACAAUGUACGCGUUUUGGCUGAUUUAUAUAAUUCGUAAAAUUUUAUUUCCAUCUGUUACAAGAUCAAACUGAAGCAGAACUCAAACAAAAGUAUGCUACUUCUUGCAGAAAUCUUGCCUUUGUUCAGAUUAUGAAACCAUUUCCAUGCAGCAAAUUCAUCCAAAAGUUUGAAUAAGUUUCAUGGUUGGACCCUGUCGGCUUCUUUUUCUUCUGAGGUGCAUUUAGGUGCUAUCAAGUGAGAGCUGUAAGUAUGAUUGCACUAAGCUGCUGCUGGGAAAUUUGAGGUUUUGAUGGCUGCCCAUGUUAUUGUCAAGAAACUACUGAUGUAAAAAGCUGUGGUUCUUUUCAUCAGCUUGAACCUGAAACUGUCGCUAUGGAUAACUCAGGUUUUUGUUAUCAACUAUAUCAUCUUUUUCACUGUUUUGAAACUCUUAAGAUUAAACUUUAGUAAAGUUGUUUCAGCUAUUCAAAUGAAAAACCUCAUUGAUUUGAGACUUCCUUCAUUAUUGUUUCUGAUUACAAUGCUAACGAUCCAGAUAAAAUAAUAUUUAAUCGGCGACGGAGUCCCUUGGAAGUACAUCCUUCUUUUUCUUUUAUUAUAUAAAUUCUUCCAAUGAGCUUAGUGAAGCUGUUGUUCUAAUCAUGCCAAUGCAUAAUUUGGCCCCUAAUGUGGGUACUCUGUUACAUUGUUCUGCAAAUUCUCCAAAAGUUAAAAUCAAUAAAUUUUCUAUUAGUUAUUGUGCUUUGACCUAAAUGCUAUUCUAUAUUUUGGUGCCUCAAUUGAAGAACCUUGGCUCCUGCCAGAGCACGUGGAGAUAAUGGCAGGGAGAGUGUCUGUGUAUUUUAACCAUGAUAAAGCUAAUAUUCCUAAUAAUUUCCGCAGGUGAGACUUGUGAAGAGGGUGAGUGAGGCAACUGCUAAUAUUCAUGGGUGGGAUACAGUAACUAGAGGCUGAGAUCAGGUGGUGGAAUUUUUUGUUUGGUCGAUGAUACCAGAAUUGUCCAGAAAAGAUUUGUUGAUACUAAUUACAGGUGAUAGAAAGAGGUAUAGGUGGAGAAGAGAAAUCUGCGAGUCAAAUUAGGGAUAAUUGAUUACUGAUACUAAUUAUAUUGAAAAUACUAAUAACAAUUGCAUGACGACCCCUUCUUAAUCUUGUGUUCUCCUAUCUUUUACAUUCAGCUGGUAUGCUUAAGCUUUGCUUGUGGAAUGUUUUAACCUUUAAAUUAACUACCCUUAGAUGUUGGAUUUUCUAGAACUUCAAAAUGAUUAAUGGAGAAAGAUCCCAUUAUCGUUAUUGCUAUAAGAAAUUGAUUUAUGCAUUCAAAGAUACAUUUUAUAUUUCUGUGUCUCUCUUUAUACAUGACAUUUAAGCAUCCAUAAACUGUCAGACAGAGGAAGGGGGUUAAGUGCAAAGAUUCUGUUGACCUAGGGCUGACUGCAUAAUGUCACUUGUUCGCAAUCUAUUAUUUAUUUUAUAUUUUGAAGAAUUUAAUGGGUAAUCCUAAUUGUUUGUUUUGGCAGGUAUGUGUUGUUAUCUCCUUCUAACUUACUGUCAUACCUAAAUAGCAUAGUUUCAUCUAUGUUACCAUGUGAUGUACAGAAUUUCACAUUUACCUCAGAUGAAGCUUAAUUUCCAGCAGAAUAAAGCUGUCGCGACUGGACUUAGGUUGAUGUCCAAAGAGGUAAAUUAUUGGCAUGCCUAGAUAAUUUGGCCAUUUCCUAAUUCAUAAGUCUACAUUAAUUUUGAUUUUGAGUUGACUGAUUUCUUUUCAAGGUCUGCUUCCUUAAUGGAGUGACCAAUGUUUUUCAACUAAAUUUAUCAUAUGAUGCAAGAAGCAGGGCGGGAUAUGAAAUGAGAAGCUCAUUGGUGGAAGUAUUGCCAGUAACAGAACCCAAAGAAAAUGAAACUAUUUCAAGGCAGCAGUUGGCAGUUGCAAGUGAAUGGAGGCCCUUGACAAAAUUCUCAAGCCGUUGCAAUGCAAUUACGAUCACCCUCAGCCUCAGGUAAUUUCUUGUACUGCUUUGUUUUUAUUUGUUAUCUAAUUAAGAAGCAUAAAGUACCUUGAAUCACUUUCUGUAGCUGGAAUAUGCAACAGUUUCUAAAAUUUUGAUAUGAGUGUAAUGAUGGUAAUUUCUGUUUUAUGUCUGUCAUUGAAUGUUAGACAACUUUCAUUGAGACUCUUGAACCGAGACAUUUUUGACAAAUGAAGGACAAGGGCUAAAGAGUGAGAAUGGUGCUAGAUUGGGGAAUAAAGAAAAAAGAGGUAAAUUAUUUGCAGUUUAUUCAGCAUUAUUUGCUUUGGACCAGCGCCUGAUUCACAAGUCUCCAUAAUUCGGCUUUUGACCAGUUGUUAAUAAAUUUUUAAUCUCAUUGGUGCUAAAUGUACACGUGAAGCAGGCAGAGCAGGACUGUGGAAAUGAGAAGGUUUUUAGUGAAAGCUUAAACUCAGGUAAUUCUAAAAAGUAGAUGUUUUUGCUGAUUUAUCUAAAUCAGGAAAUUUUAUUUCCAUCUGUUACAAGAUAAAACAGAAACAGAACACAAAGAAAAAUAUUCUACUUCUUGUGGCAAUCUUGCCUUCAUUCAGACUAUGAAACCAUUUCCUUUCACCAAUUUCUUCCAAAAGUUUGAAUAAGUUUCAUGGUUGGACAUAAGUUAGCUUCUUUUUCUUUUGGUGCAUUUAGGUCCUAGUGACAGCCAUAAGUAUGAUUGCAUUAUUGGGAAAUUUUAGGUUUGGAUGGCUCCCCAAGUUAUUGCCAAGAAAGUCCUCAUGUCAGAAGCUGCGGUUCUUUUCAUCAGCCUGAACCUGAACCUGUCGCUAUAGAUAACUCAGGUUUUUGUCAUCAACUAUAUCAUCUUUUUUACUGUUUUGAAACUCUUAAGAUUAAACUUCAGUAAAGUUGUUUCAGUUAUCCAUGUAAUCAG
This 3442-nucleotide long non-coding RNA is filed under the name Citrus maxima (pomelo). RNAcentral describes it as "long non-coding RNA (CMAX_LNC002169)". The record is from RNAcentral. Lineage: Eukaryota; Viridiplantae; Streptophyta; Magnoliopsida; Sapindales; Rutaceae.